GUGUCAGCAGCCGCGGUAAUACGUAGGUGGCAAGCGUUGUCCGGAUUUACUGGGCGUAAAGAGCGCGCAGGCGGUCGUCCAAGUCGAAUGUGAAAGCCCCCGGCUCAACUGGGGAGGGUCAUUCGAUACUGUUCGACUCGAAGGCAGGAGAGGGAAGUGGAAUUCCGGGUGUAGUGGUGAAAUGCGUAGAUAUCCGGAGGAACACCAGUGGCGAAGGCGACUUUCUGGCCUGUUCUUGACGCUGAGGCGCGAAAGCUAGGGGAGCAAACAGGAUUAGAUACCCUGGUAGUCC
Molecule: ribosomal RNA, 292 nt
Filed under: uncultured bacterium
Lineage: Bacteria
Description: partial 16S ribosomal RNA
Rfam family: Bacterial small subunit ribosomal RNA
Source: RNAcentral